Molecule: ribosomal RNA, 401 nt
Filed under: uncultured Debaryomyces
Lineage: Eukaryota; Fungi; Ascomycota; Saccharomycetes; Saccharomycetales; Saccharomycetaceae
Description: SSU rRNA
Rfam family: Eukaryotic small subunit ribosomal RNA
Source: RNAcentral
GCAAGUCUGGUGCCAGCAGCCGCGGUAAUUCCAGCUCCAAUAGCGUAUAUUAAAGUUGUUGCAGUUAAAAAGCUCGUAGUUGAACCUUGGGCUUGGUUGGCCGGUCCGCCUUUUUGGCGAGUACUGGACCCAACCGAGCCUUUCCUUCUGGCUAACCUUUCGCCCUUGUGGUGUUUGGCGAACCAGGACUUUUACUUUGAAAAAAUUAGAGUGUUCAAAGCAGGCCUUUGCUCGAAUAUAUUAGCAUGGAAUAAUAGAAUAGGACGUUAUGGUUCUAUUUUGUUGGUUUCUAGGACCAUCGUAAUGAUUAAUAGGGACGGUCGGGGGCAUCAGUAUUCAGUUGUCAGAGGUGAAAUUCUUGGAUUUACUGAAGACUAACUACUGCGAAAGCAUUUGCCAAA